RNAcentral lists this transfer RNA (73 nucleotides) under Haematococcus lacustris. Its description in RNAcentral is "tRNA-Arg". Lineage: Eukaryota; Viridiplantae; Chlorophyta; Chlorophyceae; Chlamydomonadales; Haematococcaceae. The record is from RNAcentral.
CGACCACGGCAGGACUCGAACCUGCAACCCUCAGCUCCGGAAGCUGAUGCGCUAUCCAUUGCGCCACGCGGCC